This 253-nucleotide ribosomal RNA is filed under the name uncultured bacterium. RNAcentral's name for it is "partial 16S ribosomal RNA". It matches the Rfam family "Bacterial small subunit ribosomal RNA", at positions 524 to 776 of the family's 1533-position model. The record is from RNAcentral.
UACGUAGGGGGCAAGCGUUGUCCGGAUUUAUUGGGCGUCAAGAGCGUGUAGGCGGUUUGGUAGGUCCGUUGUGAAAACUCGAGGCUCAACCUCGAGACGCCGAUGGAAACCAUCAGACUAGAGUCCGGAAGAGGAGAGUGGAAUUCCUGGUGUAGCGGUGAAAUGCGCAGAUAUCAGGAAGAACACCCGUGGCUAAGGCGGCUCUCUAGUACGGUACUGACGCUGAGACGCGAAAGCGUGGGGAGCGAACAGG